GGGGAAUAUUGGGCAAUGGGCGAAAGCCUGACCCAGCGACGCCGCGUGAAGGAUGAAGGUCUUCGGAUUGUAAACUUCUUUGAUCAGGGAAGAAAGAAAUGACGGUACCUGAAAAACAAGCCACGGCUAACUACGUGCCAGCAGCCGCGGUAAUACGUAGGUGGCAAGCGUUGUCCGGAUUUACUGGGUGUAAAGGGCGUGUAGGCGGGGAUGCAAGUCAGAUGUGAAAUCCCGCGGCUCAACCGCGGAACUGCAUCUGAAACUGCGUCUCUUGAGUGUCGGAAGGGAAAGUGGAAUUCCUAGUGUAGCGGUGAAAUGCGUAGAUAUUAGGAGGAACACCGGUGGCGAAGGCGACUUUCUGGACGACAACUGACGCUGAGACGCGAAAGCGUGGGGAGCAAAC
RNAcentral lists this ribosomal RNA (403 nucleotides) under uncultured bacterium. RNAcentral describes it as "bacterial SSU rRNA". It matches the Rfam family "Bacterial small subunit ribosomal RNA", at positions 356 to 773 of the family's 1533-position model. The record is from RNAcentral.